This 253-nucleotide ribosomal RNA is filed under the name uncultured bacterium. RNAcentral describes it as "partial 16S ribosomal RNA". It matches the Rfam family "Bacterial small subunit ribosomal RNA", at positions 524 to 776 of the family's 1533-position model. The record is from RNAcentral.
UACGUAGGGUGCAAGCGUUGUCCGGAAUUAUUGGGCGUAAAGAGCUCGUAGGCGGUUUGUCGCGUCGAAUGUGAAAACCCGGGGCUCAACCCCGGGCCUGCAUUCGAUACGGGCAGACUAGAGUUCGGUAGGGGAGUCUGGAAUUCCUGGUGUAGCGGUGAAAUGCGCAGAUAUCAGGAGGAACACUGGUGGCGAAGGCGGGACUCUGGGCCGAUACUGACGCUGAGGAGCGAAAGCGUGGGGAGCAAACAGG